AUUUUCUUCACAGCUGUUUUUGAUAAGCAAAACAAAACUUCUUCAAUACUGUUGAUGGAGUUGAAGUAUGUCUUCUUUGCAUUAUUUCUUGCUGGUUUUUCUCCUUAUGAAGGCGAUGCCCAGAGCCAAAAAGGUAAGCAACCCGCAUAUAAUGCCUGAUGGACUGCUGGCGAGUGGACGAACGAGGUGGGGCUCGGGAUAUGGAUACCACUCGCAAAUAUUUCCGCAAUCAGCUUUAUGUUACAAAUAGUUUUGUUAAUUAUGAUUAUGAAACAGAUAU
Long non-coding RNA from Morus notabilis, 280 nucleotides. RefSeq lists it as uncharacterized. The transcript is spliced from 3 exons. The record is from RefSeq and is a predicted model, not a curated record. NCBI's taxonomy places the organism in Eukaryota, Viridiplantae, Streptophyta, Magnoliopsida, Rosales, Moraceae.